RNAcentral lists this ribosomal RNA (465 nucleotides) under uncultured Enterobacter sp. RNAcentral describes it as "bacterial SSU rRNA". It matches the Rfam family "Bacterial small subunit ribosomal RNA", at positions 338 to 795 of the family's 1533-position model. The record is from RNAcentral. Lineage: Bacteria; Pseudomonadati; Pseudomonadota; Gammaproteobacteria; Enterobacterales; Enterobacteriaceae.
CCUACGGGUGGCAGCAGUGGGGAAUAUUGCACAAUGGGCGCAAGCCUGAUGCAGCCAUGCCGCGUGUAUGAAGAAGGCCUUCGGGUUGUAAAGUACUUUCAGCGGGGAGGAAGGCGAUAAGGUUAAUAACCUUGUCGAUUGACGUUACCCGCAGAAGAAGCACCGGCUAACUCCGUGCCAGCAGCCGCGGUAAUACGGAGGGUGCAAGCGUUAAUCGGAAUUACUGGGCGUAAAGCGCACGCAGGCGGUCUGUCAAGUCGGAUGUGAAAUCCCCGGGCUCAACCUGGGAACUGCAUUCGAAACUGGCAGGCUGGAGUCUUGUAGAGGGGGGUAGAAUUCCAGGUGUAGCGGUGAAAUGCGUAGAGAUCUGGAGGAAUACCGGUGGCGAAGGCGGCCCCCUGGACAAAGACUGACGCUCAGGUGCGAAAGCGUGGGGAGCAAACAGGAUUAGAUACCCCAGUAGUC